UUUUAGGGAGGUCAUUGUUAAAUUGAGUGAUGAAUUAAAAUAAUACUGCUAAGACAAGCUGAUCGAAACUUGAUAAUCUUUGAUAUUUGACCUAUUAAUGUGAACUAGACAUUUGAACAAAUGACAAUCAUGGGCACGUAUCAUGCCCAUCUCAAUUUCAGAAAAUUGUUAAUUUAUUUUAAAUUCCCUUAUGGUUUACAAAGUGACAGCCAUAAUCAGCUUAUUAUUCCUAUGUUUUUAUGUUUACCUCUUAGUGUGGCCAGGUGACAUGGGUCGUACACUUAGCACACUGACUCCAAAUGGUAAACCAUUUAAAAUUCCCUAAUGAGUUAUAAAGUAACAUUGAAAACCAGCUGUACUGCAAAAAGUAUUCAACUGACCUUUAAACUUUGAUCUCGAAAACAAAUAUAUUUGUCUUACACAAAACAUGGUGCUUCCACAUGGUUAACUUUUGUUAUUUUUAAAUUGACUGAUCAAUAUAAAACGCUGACAAGUUUUGUGUGUGCCAACAAGUGUUUUAAGGGAAUAUAUGGUAUCAUUCUGCAAAAGGAAGUAAACACGAUAUUUUUUUAAGUCUGAAGAUUGUUCACAAAUACCUGAGCUGUUCAAUGUGACAAAAAUGGCGUCCGAUUUUGAGGCAUCUAUUUCCAAAGGAUCUGAUUUAAUCUAUGACAUUGUGUGACAUUUGUGUGGAAAAUGAGAUAAACACACAGGCGGACAUGAACUGUGAGAAAUGUUCAAAGUUCUAUUGAAGCAGCUGUAUGCAACACCACAAUCAGCCCUUUAAAAAGCACACUGUAUUUGGGAGAGAAUAUCUGGAGAAGUGGCCAGUUACCAAGGCAGCAGAAGAUCGAAUAGAACUGUGUAGGGAACACAAGGGCAGAAAAAUGGAAGUGUUCUGCGAGGAGUUGAUGUGCACAGUCUGUCAUCUACAGAAUCACAAGCCAUGUCAUCACGUGAUACUCAUUGCUGAUAAAGUGAAAAGCCUUCGCCAGAAAGGAGAUUUUCAAUAACUUUCAGCAAAUCUUGACUUAUUACAAGGACAAUUGUGGUGAAGAAAACUAAAAUUGAGGGAUAUAUGCAGUCUACUGCAAAAACCUUCAAGCAAAUUCUGGAAGAAAUAAAUGCUUCGCAGAAGAACAUCAAUAUUUAUUUCGAUCAAAUGAAGAAAAAUACCACCCAGGAGUUACAGUUAAUAAAGACCACUGUCCAGCAUAAUGUCAAAACAUGCAACGAGUUUAUUGGAAACACACAAUCUGUACAAGAAGAAUGGGUGAAAGUUAAAGACAAAAGGGGCACUUCUUCUUUUAUUAAUGAACAAACAAGGCCUUAAGCAUUGUUUUAAGGCAAGAGCAGCUUUAAUUGAAAUGCCAACAAAUGUUGACGUGACAUUGGCGUAUAUGCCAGAACCAAUCAUAAACAGAAGUCUGUCUGCUCUCUCAAUGUUACAAAAUAUACACAGAGACAAACAGGAAUCGCAAACUGAAAAUAAAACAAAUCCUGAAGAAACCCGAGGUAUCGUCUCCAUCUAGCCCACCUGCUACUGAACGCCAGUUAAGUGUAAUAACCCAGCCAAGCCUGGUAUUGGAGUCAGAAUUAUGUUUGACAGGCAAAACAGAUAUGGCAAGAAAUUCAGCUUAUCAGAGAACAUUUAAAUAUCCGAUUUUGGAACCAGAUUGCAAGACAAGUCUAACUCAUCACAAAUAACCCGUAAAAAUUAUGAAAAUAUGGAGGGUAAGCUGGCUAAUCUAAAUAAAGACAUCAGAGUAAACAGUAAUCAGCAGUAUAUAGUUGACAUGACUUAUGACUCCUUCCCUUUCAGUAUAACCAGCAUUUGUGAGAUUCUUCCGGAAAACUGGUCAUCACUGACAUGGUUAACAAGAAAAUUAUGUUGCUGGAUCGGACAUUCUGGGUGGAAUCCCAACUUGGCUCGAAUGAUUCACUAAGGUCAAUGUGUGGCGUUGACUCUAAUCUAGUGGCUGUUGCUCUAGGAAAUCAUGGAUGUUUUUUUUCAUCAAACUCACCAAUAGCAGUUUGGUACAAGACACGACAUUUAGACUCAAACACCAGUACAUGGUAUUGCCCAUCACCAGGGUAAUCUGUAUAUAACAUCCCAAACAAACCUGCACAAGUACAAUAUGGACGGAAGACUUGUGAGCAAGAUUUAUCAGGAGACAUCCGGGACGUCGACAUCAAUAUCCUGUGAAGUUAGUCCAGAUGGAGACAGGAUAUAUGUGGCAAACAGGAUAAAGAACACGUUAGUCACCCUGUCCAGGGAUGGCACGGUGAUCUCCACACUGACUGACCCAGCGCUGGACUGGAGACUCCUAAGUGUGCCUCCAGGCCUCCAUGUGACAGAAAUGGGACAAGUCCUCGUGUGUGGACGCAUGUCUCAUACAGUCCUCCAGGUGGAUAGAAACAGGACACGGAGGCUUACAGAGGUGGUUACCGAGAAAGAUGAUGUAAGGAAGCCAACUGCAGUUUUCUUCAGUUCACUUACAAACACACUUAUCAUGAGGAUGGCGGAAAGUCAUAAAGUACUGGUGUUCAAGACCACGUAAUUUUGUGCUAUUUUUAUAUUUGGAAUUCGACGUGUGAAAUAUAUCCAUACUUGUACAUUAUUUUUUGCGAAGACUGAUAAAUGGACAUUUUUUUAUCUUAAGUUUGCUUUGAAAAUAAAAAUAUACAAUGCAGAAAUUAUAUUUGAUUUAUAGUUGUUUACUGCGCAAUAGGCCUGCAUAGGAAUUAAACCUCUGGGGUCAUAGCAUUAAAUCAGAAGGUAAGGGAUUUUUAAUGACCAAUAUAUAAUUAUAUGCACAAUUAUAUUGAUUCUCAACUACUUUAAUAAAUAUGUGUGCAAGUGACAUGAGACAUAUAUCUUAUUGUGCUGUGUAAAGGUUUGGGAUUUCAUUCGUAAAUGUAAGUUUUACACUUUUGAUUUUUCCCUUUUACCCUGCUGAUGUCCUUUCGGACUGCAGAUAUUUCUCUUUUGCAGUCCCGUUUUUGCCCUCUUACACUACUGCAGAUUUUUCUCUUUUACACUGUUAAUUUUGCCCUUUUACACCGCAAUUAUGCACCUUUUUUGCUUAACGUUUUGAUGUAUUUGUAUCACCAACAUUUAUUAAUUCCUGUGAUGUUUUGCUUUCAUAUAAAUGAAAAGAAUUAGAAAGAAUUCACCUUAAAUUGUGUAACAGAUUUCUACGAAUAAGAAGCAAUAUGUAUUUUGAUGCAGUUUAAGAUGACCUUUGCAGAUAUCCACAUAUACAUUAGAACAAUUAAAUAAUGGUUUUAAAGUAUAGACAGUGAUAGUUUUAAAUUAAGGACUGUUAAUAAUGAGGCUCUUAAAGACUGCAAUAGUGGAAAGAGAAAUUGGGUAACAAAUGUCAAACAUGAUAAAGGCUAUACGCAAGUCUUCAGGAACAGUCGCAUAGCUAGAAACAAAAACAGUGUAUUCAUAUUUAAUCCUGUGACGUUGAAGAUGAAUAUCAUUGUUAUUAUGAUAGAAGGCAAAAUAAAUAAAAUCUCAUUAUCUCAAGCAGCCAUCAGUAUAUACAUUAUUGAGCCUUAUGAGAACAUGUACCUAAGAAGUAGUUUACUGUUGUUUAUUAAACAAGCUCUUUUUAAUCAAAACCGCCAUAUUGAAUGUUGUUCAGAAUCAAAGUGCAAUUAACUGAAUUGUUAUGCUUCAAGGUUUGGUUGUUUAUGUAAUUGUUUGUUAGUUUUUAUGUAUAAAAUUCUCAUAAUCAGAGAGCGUUUUUUAAAGGGACUUUUUCCCAGAUUUUGGCAUAUUUUGAAGUUUGUCAUUAAAUGCUUUAAUUUAGGAAGUACAAACGUUUUCAAUACUGUGUUUUUUCCGAUUAGUGUAAGUUUACGAUGAUGCCAUGAUUUAAAGCAGUUUUUAAAAUUCUGUAAUUUAGGUAGUAUGUUUUAAGAACUGUAUCCUUUUCAUUAUUUGUGAAAGUAAUUCCUAACGUUGUGGCUUCAUCGGAUGUCCAAUUAAAUUUCAUUUCUUUUUUAUAUUGAAUAUUACUUUGUUUUAAUUUCCCUACUCGUAGUACAGUACAUUUACUUUUGUUUAGUUGAAGACCCGAUGUCAUUCCGUAAAGGGUUAGCGACUCUAUUAAGUUAUGGAAAGAAUCGUAAUUGUCAUUUAAAAAAUAAGUUUCAUCGUCCGCAAAUAGGGAUUGUUUGAUUUCUUCGUCAGGUUCUAGUGAUAUGCCUUUUAUGUGUUUAUUUGAUUGGAUGUGAUGUGAUAGAUACUCGAUGCAAAUAAUAAAUAGCGAUGAUGAGAGUGGACAUCCUUGUCGAACCCCUCGUUCGAUGUUAAGACUGUUUGAAAAGAAGCCAUUGUUAAUGAUUAUACUGUUAAUAUCGGUAUAGAAUAGUUAAUUAAAUCAAUAUAUGUUUGAACAGUUCUCCCAAAUCCACCAAAUGAACGAUAUAAAAUCAGCAAUAUUUAAUUUCAUUCGGGACGGUUAGCCUGAUAAAAUAAAAAGAACUCAGUUAAUUCAAUCUGUAGAAAAUGGAGGUAUCCAAUUAACGAACAUUGACUCAUUCUUGAAUGCAAUCAAAUGCAGCUGGGUUAAAAGAUACCUAGAUAAUACCAAUACGAGUAAAUGGAAAUUAUUCUACCAGAAAAUCC
Dreissena polymorpha is the source of this 4642-nucleotide long non-coding RNA. RefSeq lists it as uncharacterized. NCBI's taxonomy places the organism in Eukaryota, Metazoa, Mollusca, Bivalvia, Myida, Dreissenidae. The record is from RefSeq and is a predicted model, not a curated record. The transcript has 3 exons.